AACUUUAUGCGACAGAGUUGGGCUGAAAUAUUAUUUACUUAAAUAGUGUUGAAAAACAGUUGGAAGUUCCCAAGAAAGAAAGCCCGAGAUCUCUCUCUGAUCUCUGUUGCUGAAUUAAGUUGUCAUUGGCUUCACUGUUUUUCCCUCUCCUCACGCCCCCCACCCCACCUCACCCCUCGCACCAAUAUCCUGGAUUUCCUUGUACUGCCACCACCGCCACCACUAUCUUCCCUGCCGUUGUCCAUUUUCCGAUGACACUUAAAUAAGAAGUUAGUUACCCUCCAUUUUUUUUCUACUCUGUUUCAGUGGAUACUCUCUUUGUUUUUUAAUCUUACCCCUUUUCUUCUCUUCUGUUUUCUCUCCUCUUUUCUAUACCCUUAGCUUACUCCAAAACAACUCUCUACACAAUAUUUUAGCUUCAUACUUGAUAUUGUCUUUACAUCCAGUUGGGGUUUUCCCGUUUUCUCUACCAGCAGGAUCUAUGUGAAAAUCUUGAAUUUUAAUCUACAAUUUGUUGGUUGUUUGAAUUAGCUAACCCACCUUUGUUCCUAAAAUAAAGUCUUAAAUAAACAUCUGAAGAAGUGAGAGUUUCCAGGUGAUAUAAGUAUUUUCUUUUUGGGGGUAUUUCAAGAAGAAAAGAAGAAGAUAAAAAUGGAUCAUAGUCGUGUUCAGCACCAACCAAUCAGUUCUGGUUUAACUAGGUAUCGAUCUGCGCCAAGUUCUUAUUUCUCUAGCCUAUUAAGUAGUACUACUCCUGUUAGUGGUGGAGGUUGUGGUUAUGCAAGAGAUGGUUUUUCUCACUUGCAAAAUUCUCGUGGUUCAGCUACUGAUAUAGAGCAAGUUUUCGCUAGUUUUGUAGCUAGUAUUGGUAACUCCAACUCCAACUCCAACUCCAACUCGGGGAAUUUUCCUACAAAUCAACAAAUUCAGGAAAACCCCACGACUAAUAUGAAUGUGAGAUCGGAUUUUAUUGUUCCAAAACAAGAGGCUAUAAAGACUCACCAGCCCUUAGUGCGACAUAAGAGUAGUGAUUAUUCUCUUGUUUCACAGAUGAAUUAUCAAAACCAGAGCCAACAGUUUAUUUCACCUGUGAAAAAGGAACCAGAGACUCUGCAACAAACUACUGAUCAUGCUUCAUCUUCACACAUGAAUUACCAAACCCAACCUCAACAAGUUGAAAAGUCAAAGGAAGCCACAGAUAAUUCAUUUGUAUUCGCGAAUUCGGCUCGUUUGACACCUGGUAGUGGUGGUGGUAAUUCGAAUCUUACCCGUUAUAAUAGUUCGCCUGCUGGAUUCCUUGAUCAAAUCAAUAUCGAAAAUGAAUAUGGUGCUAUGCGAGGCAUAGGGAGUUAUGGAACUGGUACUAAUGCUGCUACAGAAACUUCUUUGUUGACUCAAGUGGGAUUCUCAUCCAGGAAACCUCCUGCUUCUCCCAGGCUAGUGGCUCCAAUCUCUGAAUUUAGAGAUAAAGUCUUGGAAGAAAACAGCAUGGCCAAUGAAAAUAAAAACAAUGAGAGUUGCAUUACAGAUUUCCCCAUGCCUUCUUGGGAAGAUUCACACAUUUUGUCUGACGAUUUCCUCAAAGCUGAAGACAUUGAGAUUGAGCCAUUCUCUAAUGAAGCUGCAUCCCAUAAUCAGAAUAGUGAAGGGCUGGCUCGUCCGCCAAUUCCUUUAGCUCAUCAUUUGAGUUUGCCCACAAGUGCCAUGGAGAAGCUCUUGCAAGAUUCAGUACACUUGAAUGUCAGAGCAAAGCGGGGUUGUGCCACUCACCCUCGUAGUAUUGCAGAAAGGGUGAGACGAACACGAAUAAGCGACAGAAUGAGGAGGCUGCAAGAGCUUGUUCCCAACAUGGACAAGCAAACAAACACAGCAGAUAUGUUGGAUUUUGCAGUAGAUUACAUUAAAGAUCUGGAGAAACAAGUCAAGAUAUUAUCAGAAAGGCGUGCCAAAUGUACGUGCAUAAAUAAGUAAAAAGCUACAAAUCAAAAGGUGAAGGUAGGAAAGGGAUCGGAAUUGAUAAUGGAAUCAGCUUACCAGAAAUGGAUUCCGUUUUGACACUUGAAGAAGACAAUGGGGUUGGCAUUUUGCUGCAUUGCACUGCCGCAUGAACAAUGUAUUCGCUAGGCUGGAUGAGCAACCUUCUAUUUGGCUUCUGUACCAAUAGUAGAGUAGCUUGCUACUUUCAAUCAGAAAAGGAAGAUUGAGCAAGGCAAAGUAGAAAGGACUUGUCCCCUAGGGUUUGCCCCGUUUUUGAGUUAUGCAUCAGAUUAUUUCAUGGGAUUAGAGCCACUCAUAACUGAGUUUCUUAGUUGUAGCGUGAUUGAUUCAUUACAAGUUUACGCAUAAACUAUGCUUACAGAAAUUUAGACUGAGAGUGUUCAGCUUCCUCACUCAAUCUUGAAGAAAAAUGGAGUUCAAUGGAGAGAACAUGCAAGGACCAGAUUUGAAUCUAAGUCUUAACAAUAGAGUUGAUGAUCCACAGGUUCCUAAUCCUUAUCUUGGAGGAUCUGAAAAUUAGAAUUCAUUCUCUAUUUUUAAUGGUGGACAAGGUAUAACAGAUGUGAGUGGAAUAAGUAUGAUUUCUUUUCGACUUACUGGUACUAAGAAUUACUCUCUGUGGAGCUGCUAAAUGAGAAUAACUCUGUAAGAAAAGAAUAAAAUGGGGAUUGUAGAUGGUUUUUGUAACAAAGAAAGGUCCAGGAAAGAACUUUUGGUAUGAAUGGAAAGGGUAGAUGCCACUGUGCUUUCUUGGCAUAUGAACUGUGUCUCUCAUUCUAAUAUCUUGUAACUUAAAAUACGUGUGUGUCAUAAAUGUUGACUAAUUAGUGUGAAAUU
This is an RNA transcript of Solanum dulcamara, 2835 nucleotides long. RefSeq lists it as uncharacterized. The transcript has 7 exons. The record is from RefSeq and is a predicted model, not a curated record. NCBI's taxonomy places the organism in Eukaryota, Viridiplantae, Streptophyta, Magnoliopsida, Solanales, Solanaceae.